UCUGGAUGGCGGACUGGCGCAUCUCUUGGAGAUCCUCGUCCUGUGAAGGAAAAUCCAAAGGAGUCAUACACCUGUGUUGGAAACUCUCUGAUCUACCAAGGAAAUUAAUUUUGGGUUGACACCGGGGACAGAGAGAGAGGAAGGAACUGCUUCGGGAAACUCACCGUAAUGCGGCCUUGCUCUGCCCCUCCCGGCGAGGUCGCUGUGGUGCGUCGCCGUCUACUUUCAGGAACCCGGGGUUUGACAAAAACCACGUAAGGCUUGAACUCCGCCGUCCGUAGCCUUCUCAAGGCCUGCAGCAUCAGCUUUACCGAUCAGAACCACCAGUCGAGGCCUCUCGUUGGGCCGCUGCUGGUAGCGGGUCACCUCCUCGUAGGUCAGGAACUCAGAGUCUCCCGGGUCAGAGCCGUCACUUGAGGAGCCUUGUCGGUCUUUCCGACUCAGGCGGAAGCUCCUGCGCAGGCCGGCUGAUUCGGAAAUGGUCGGGGUGACAGAAACAGAUGGCAUGGAAAAAAAAAAAAAAGGAUUCAUGUAGGACUGAAAACUAUGCCUCAGACAAGUCGUUCAGCAUCGUAGCGUUUCGGCGCACAAUCUUCACCGACUCCUCCUCCAGGUCAUCAUCGUAGUCGUCUGGCAGCGGCGGCAGGACGGGAUCGAAACUCUUCUGAGCCACCGUGUCGUGCACGGACAGAAGGGCCUGGCAGUGUACCACAACACCGCGACUUCAAUUACAACGACAAAAAGUGCAUCUAUGAUUGACACGUGAGGAGACUAAUGACAGGUACGCCAAGCUUCUCUCGCUGAAGACAUCCUUGAGGAAGACCAUGUCCUCCUUGUGGUUGGCAUCGGGCCUCAGCUGUGAGG
This is a long non-coding RNA of Hippocampus comes (tiger tail seahorse), 864 nucleotides long. RefSeq lists it as uncharacterized. The record is from RefSeq and is a predicted model, not a curated record. NCBI's taxonomy places the organism in Eukaryota, Metazoa, Chordata, Actinopteri, Syngnathiformes, Syngnathidae. The transcript is spliced from 6 exons.